CUGCUGCUGUUGGAUUUGUUGCUGCUGGAGGCUUUGGACCGCCUUCAUCAAAACCUUCAUUUGCUGCAUGAGUGCAGCAAUCUGUGCGUAUGUGGUGACCACAGGACGCGAAGAACUGGACUCUGCCACUGGAGGUGAGGGAGAAACAUCUUUCCGACGAAAAGACUGCCUCACCAAUCCGGUCGAGUGUUGAGCUCUGAUUUUCGACAUGGUUGAUUAUAGUUUUUCCUUACCUGGCACGCUAAUCUGUUGCGAUCAAUCCUCUAUCGCCUGUCGUCUAUCGCCGAUGAUGAGCACCUGCAAAAUAAAGCCCUCAUAGAUCGAAAUUGUGUCCGGCGGGGACCCUCCAAUGCUUAAGUCAGCAAAAAAUUGGUGAACAGUAGAUAAUGAGUAAUCGAAAUGGUAGGGUAUUAGCUUAGAAUUAUCUUACCCAUACUGUUCAUUUACCUCCUUUUUAUACAUAAUUCUAGUAUAACCGUCGAGCACGUAGUCUCGCUUUUUAUGAUGCUAAAUUAUCGAACCAUAAUCCUGAAGUUAAUGGAUUGUUUAUGCCCACUAAUGAUCGUUGAUAUGUGUCGUACCACAUCAAAAUUAAUCCUACUCACUACUAUGUAGAUAGGGUGAGUUGGGAUCGUAUCCGCAGAGAUCUUAGUUGAUUAUUUUGAAAACGCAAAAGAAAAGAAUAAUAGAUCGUAAGAAACUAAAAAAGAAACAUGAAAAUUAUAAUAAAAUUAUUUUUUAUUAAUCAAAUAAAGAAACGUACAUAAAGAAAAAAAUAAAAUUACGAUACAAGACAACUAAACUAAGUUGAUCUUCUUGCUGCAUCCGAUAGUAGAUAUGUCUCCUUGAAUCCUUCAUCUUCCUCUGUACAGACAGUGGCAGGAUGGCUGGAAGGCUUGGUCUAAGAACUUCAAGGAAGAAAGGUUGAUGGAAGCGGGUAUGUAGAAGAGAAAGAGUAGCGGCACUAGGAUUAGGACCUCUCCUAGAUUUGAUAGGAUAUGAAAAAAGAAUCUGUAGAAGAAUAUGGUGUCGUGCUAGGGUUAGUAUCUCCCCUUGACUUAUGG
Molecule: long non-coding RNA, 1064 nt
Filed under: Elaeis guineensis (African oil palm)
Lineage: Eukaryota; Viridiplantae; Streptophyta; Magnoliopsida; Arecales; Arecaceae
Description: long non-coding RNA (EGUI_LNC030795)
Source: RNAcentral